UACGAAGGGGGCUAGCGUUGCUCGGAAUCACUGGGCGUAAAGCGCACGUAGGCGGCCUCUUAAGUCGGUGGUGAAAUCCUGGAGCUCAACUCCAGAACUGCCUUCGAUACUGAGAGUCUCGAGUCCGGGAGAGGUGAGUGGAACUGCGAGUGUAGAGGUGAAAUUCGUAGAUAUUCGCAAGAACACCAGUGGCGAAGGCGGCUCACUGGCCCGGUACUGACGCUGAGGUGCGAAAGCGUGGGGAGCAAACGGG
Molecule: ribosomal RNA, 253 nt
Filed under: uncultured bacterium
Lineage: Bacteria
Description: partial 16S ribosomal RNA
Rfam family: Bacterial small subunit ribosomal RNA
Source: RNAcentral